RNAcentral lists this small RNA (603 nucleotides) under uncultured fungus. RNAcentral's name for it is "eukaryotic LSU rRNA". The stretch from base 163 to 317 matches the Rfam family "5.8S ribosomal RNA". Lineage: Eukaryota; Fungi. The record is from RNAcentral.
CACGCCUCGGUGCUCUCGCACAUAUCCAUCUCACCCUUGUGCAUCACCGCGUGGGGGCCCCUUUUGGUUAUUUCUGAGGGGGGCUUUUCAUGUUUUUACACAAACACCCUUUUAAUGCAUGUGUAGAAUGUCUUACUUGUUGUGAUCACACACAAUCUAUACAACUUUCAACAACGGAUCUCUUGGCUCUCGCAUCGAUGAAGCACGCAGCGAGAUGCUAUACGUGAUGUGAAUWGCAGAAUUCAGUGAAUCAUYGWAUCUUUGRACGCACCUUGCGCCCUUUGGUAUGUCCGAGGGGCACACCCGUUUGAGUGUCGUGACAUUCUCUUACCUUCUUGGUGGCUUGACCGGGAAGGCUUUGGACUUUGGAGGCUUUUCGCUGGCUCUUCUCUUGUUGAAGCCAGCUCCUCUGAAUAUGAAUUAGCGGGGUCUGCUUUGCUAAUCCUUGACGUGAUAAGAUGCUUCUACGUCUUGGGUUUUGCACUGUUCCGCUUCUAACCGUCUCAUAGAAGACUAUGGCCGAGUGAUUGCCACUUGUACCCACAACCCUUGACCUCAUAAUCGGGUGAGACUACCCGCUGAACUUAAGCAUAUCAAUAAGCG